This 199-nucleotide long non-coding RNA is filed under the name Manihot esculenta (cassava). Its description in RNAcentral is "long non-coding RNA (MESC_LNC012792)". The record is from RNAcentral. Lineage: Eukaryota; Viridiplantae; Streptophyta; Magnoliopsida; Malpighiales; Euphorbiaceae.
GGUUAUGUCAGGCUUGCUACGGUUCCCGGCGGCCUUAUGCCGAUCUGGAUCCUAGCGCCGGUAGCGGUCCGGAUUUCCGGGCUGUUACAGAGUGGUAUCAGAGCCCUAGGUUAAUAUGGUCGGACCUAGAGUGUCGGGCUCAUAGAUGUUAUAGCAGGUCAAGCACAAUAAGAAAGGUCAUGUCCACUAGGAUAGGAUG